AACGAACGCUGGCGGCAUGCCUAACACAUGCAAGUCGAACGAGACCUUCGGGUCUAGUGGCGCACGGGUGUGUAACGCGUGGGAACCUGCCCUUAGGUUCGGCAUAACUCUCCGAAAGGGGUGCUAUACCGGAUAAUGUCUUCGGACCAAAGAUUUAUCUCCUCUGGAUGGGCCCGAGUUGGAUUAGCUAGUUGGUAGGGUAAAAACCUACAAACGCGACGCUUCAUAGAUUGUAUGAGAGGAAGAUCAGCCACACUGAGGCGGCGUAACGGCCCGGAAUCUUACGCGAGGGGCCAGUGGGGAACAUAGGAAAGUGGCGUAAGUCCUGAUGCAGCAAUGCCGGGUGAGUGCUGAAGGCCUGAGGGUUGUAAAGCUCUAUUAACCGGGAUGAUAAUGACGGUACCGGGAGAGUAAGCCCCGGCUAACUCCGUG
RNAcentral lists this ribosomal RNA (432 nucleotides) under uncultured bacterium. RNAcentral describes it as "partial 16S ribosomal RNA". It matches the Rfam family "Bacterial small subunit ribosomal RNA", at positions 29 to 507 of the family's 1533-position model. The record is from RNAcentral.